This 373-nucleotide unclassified non-coding RNA is filed under the name Hevea brasiliensis (rubber tree). The record is from RNAcentral. Lineage: Eukaryota; Viridiplantae; Streptophyta; Magnoliopsida; Malpighiales; Euphorbiaceae.
AAAAAUAAAAACUAAAUAAAUAAUAAAAUACAUAAAAUGGAUAAUAAAAUGUAAAAAAAUGCAAUAUAAAAAAAUUUGUAAUAAAAAGUGACACUAUCAACCAAGACAGUAGGAGUCACCGUACCUAAAAAGCUCUAGACAUAGGGAAAAUCCAAAUUACAAACCAGAAAGUGGUAUCAAAUCAACACAUUAUAUUGCUAUAUACCAUAAACAAAUAUUAAGUGAUAAAAUCCUGUUUACAUGGUGUGGAUGUUUACUUGAAAUACAAAUUGCGAACUCGCAAAUCCCAAAGUUCACUAAAUACCCUGGAUUUUUACUUGCAAAAAAGGGAAAAAUCAAAACGGAAAAACUAGGAAAAUCAACUAAUUAUUGU